UUAAGUUGCAGGGUAUAGACCCGAAACCCGGUGAUCUAGCCAUGGGCAGGUUGAAGGUUGGGUAACACUAACUGGAGGACCGAACCGACUAAUGUUGAAAAAUUAGCGGAUGACCUGUGGCUGGGGGUGAAAGGCCAAUCAAACCGGGAGAUAGCUGGUUCUCCCCGAAAGCUAUUUAGGUAGCGCCUCGUGAAUUCAUCUCCGGGGGUAGAGCACUGUUUCGGCUAGGGGGCCAUCCCGGCUUACCAACCCGAUGCAAACUGCGAAUACCGGAGAAUGUUAUCACGGGAGACACACGGCGGGUGCUAACGUCCGUCGUGAAGAGGGAAACAACCCAGACCGCCAGCUAAGGUCCCAAAGUCAUGGUUAAGUGGGAAACGAUGUGGGAAGGCCCAGACAGCCAGGAUGUUGGCUUAGAAGCAGCCAUCAUUUAAAGAAAGCGUAAUAGCUCACUGGUCGAGUCGGCCUGCGCGGAAGAUGUAACGGGGCUAAACCAUGCACCGAAGCUGCGGCAGCGACACUGUGUG
This 527-nucleotide ribosomal RNA is filed under the name Salmonella enterica subsp. enterica serovar Enteritidis. RNAcentral's name for it is "partial 23S ribosomal RNA". It matches the Rfam family "Bacterial large subunit ribosomal RNA", at positions 695 to 1220 of the family's 2925-position model. The record is from RNAcentral. Lineage: Bacteria; Pseudomonadati; Pseudomonadota; Gammaproteobacteria; Enterobacterales; Enterobacteriaceae.